GCUGACUUAGCUCAGUUGGUAGAGCACGUCACUAGUAAUGAUGGGGUCGGAGGUUCGAAUCCUCUAGUCAGCACUA
This 76-nucleotide transfer RNA is filed under the name Limosilactobacillus reuteri. RNAcentral describes it as "Lactobacillus reuteri tRNA-Thr". It matches the Rfam family "tRNA". From Rfam's summary of the family: Transfer RNA (tRNA) molecules are approximately 80 nucleotides in length. Their secondary structure includes four short double-helical elements and three loops (D, anti-codon, and T loops). The record is from RNAcentral. Lineage: Bacteria; Bacillati; Bacillota; Bacilli; Lactobacillales; Lactobacillaceae.